RNAcentral lists this long non-coding RNA (1622 nucleotides) under Populus tremula. RNAcentral describes it as "long non-coding RNA (PTRE_LNC000075)". Lineage: Eukaryota; Viridiplantae; Streptophyta; Magnoliopsida; Malpighiales; Salicaceae. The record is from RNAcentral.
CUGCCAAGCCAAACUCUAAUGAUUUUUUAAGAGAGAAUUAUGUUAAACAUUAUAAAUUUUGCUUAUGAUUUUAUUUUCCCUCAUGCAUUUAACAAAUUACACUAUACAUGUCAUUGUUAAUACAGUUAAUAAUACUUUACAUACUAAGUCAGACACACAUACACUUAAUCAAUGAAAAAGUUCUAAAAUAUUAUGGUAUUAUAAUUGACCUAAUGUCAAAACCCAAAGUAACCUUGUUUAUUACAUAUUUUGUUCUUCUAACAUCCUUUCAUUAUAAUUGACAUAAUGUCAAAACUCCCAAAUAUUAUGGUAUUUUGUUCUUUUAACCAAGUUUUUUUUUUUUUGGUUGAAACAAGAAACAAGUUGAAGAAAGACCCUUUUCAUUAUUUAAACGAGGGGUCCUUUUACAGCUUAACUUAAAUUAAUACUGCUUUAGUUUGUAACUUGAGACAAUGCAUGCAUUAUCAACUAAUGCAUCAUUAAGCCAUGUCCUCACUCUCUUCUUGAUCCCUUAUCCAUUUGAGAGGCCACUUUUUAAUUAAUCACAGAACAUACGUUGUAAUAUGGCUAUGGCCACCAGCGUGGUUGACAAGCCCAGCUGAGUCAGACACACGUCGAUGUGGCUGUACUUUUUUGCUGAUUGUACGUGUUUCCACGGGCCCUCAUACAUUUUUUGGAUUAGUUUGCACUCAAAAGGGAAGACGCUGGCCACUUGUUUCGCAUUAUGAGAAACAUUAGGGUUUCUAUAUAUUAUAUAUAUUCUAGGCACAAUUGAUGGAAAGGAAUGUGUUCAAUUAAUAUAUAUUGGACAUUGAUUUGAUGAUAAAAUUAUAUAUCCAUACGUACCCUAAUGCCAAGUGUUAAUAGUUUAAUAAUUACUCGUUCCAUACAUAUUAUAAGAAAGAAAAGCUAACCCUAUUUAAUUGCCUCCCAUUUUGCUAUUUUAUUUGCUUAACGUGAUGAUACCAAAGAAAAGGCAGGUAAGGGUCAGAAAACAACUAGAAAAUGAAAGGGGAAAGUGCAAGGAACAAUUAAUAUAUGUAAAAGCGGGAAUCUUACAAGAGCCCUUGAAUGAUGAGUUUCACAAGAUCGAAGAAAUUUUAUGCGAACCUGUUUUUUGGUUCAUACAACAACAACGACCUUCUAUUUAAUUUCCUUCUAUUUAAUUUCCACAUCGAUCUUGGUCCUAUGGUUCUUGUCCUUUUCUCAUUAGUAAUCUUCACCCGCAUGGAUUUCCAGCUCCUGCGUGAUCAAUACUACUAAACUACAAGAUGUGCUACCAACCUUUCUUUUAAUUAUGUGUUUAGUCUAUCAUAACAGCCCAACCACCCUUCUUUUUGCCCUAGUAGGAGCAUUGAAAGAAGUAUAUAAUUUAAUCCUGAAUAUCGCAUGCUUCUUUCAUGAAAAAUGGGUGGAGAAUCUGCUCAAAACUAGGUUGAUAAAACAAAAUUCGGUGCUAAACUCUUUUGUUUUUAUUUUUUUUAAAUCAUAAUAAUGGAAUUAAUUAGAGAUGAGACUACCUGGCUACCUUCUUUUCUUUGCCUUUCGGUGCCUGCCUCCGUACUAAGAUAUUCUUUCUCCCUCUCCCCGUUCUUUUAUCUUCCAAGUGAGUGGUGGAAUGU